GGCCCAUCGCGCGACUGGCGAUUUGAGAUGGGCAACCAUCGGGGAGCGCGUGUCUGAACUGCCGAUCGCCUGGGCGGCCGGG
Molecule: non-coding RNA, 82 nt
Filed under: Devosia geojensis
Lineage: Bacteria; Pseudomonadati; Pseudomonadota; Alphaproteobacteria; Hyphomicrobiales; Devosiaceae
Description: ZTP sequence
Rfam family: ZMP/ZTP riboswitch aptamer (pfl RNA motif)
About the family: Previously known as pfl RNA.
Source: Rfam by way of RNAcentral